This is a long non-coding RNA of Glycine soja, 339 nucleotides long. RefSeq lists it as uncharacterized. The record is from RefSeq and is a predicted model, not a curated record. The transcript is spliced from 2 exons. NCBI's taxonomy places the organism in Eukaryota, Viridiplantae, Streptophyta, Magnoliopsida, Fabales, Fabaceae.
UCUAAAUAUGUAUUUUUCUUCUUGUCUCUUCUUUUAAUAGGCAUCGAAUGUUGGUUUAUCUCAAGUACUGCUUUAUAGGUCUUCUCAUCCCACCAGAAAACUACUUUCACAAUCGGACAGGACAUCACUAUUCCAGGUAAGGAAUGAGAGUCCUACUCAAUUGUAUGAUGUAAAUAUUUUAUAGAAGUUAUUUUAAUUUCUUAUCUAAGUAUCUUAAGUAUUAUUUUGAAUAGUGAAAUGAUUGUAUGACCGAGUAUGAUUGGAAGAAUGUUGCCAACACAAUACAUGCAUAUUAUAACCUAAAUUUAAAAUGGGUCUAAAAUCUUAACCGGAAAAAAA